RNAcentral lists this long non-coding RNA (4547 nucleotides) under Zea mays. RNAcentral's name for it is "long non-coding RNA (ZMAY_LNC004142)". Lineage: Eukaryota; Viridiplantae; Streptophyta; Magnoliopsida; Poales; Poaceae. The record is from RNAcentral.
GACUUGAUCUCCUUCCUGUUGUGGACGCCCUUGCUGCUCCUCCUCAACACCUUGGCCUUUCCCAAGUCCUUGCUGGUCCUCUCCAAGGUACCUAAUCAUCAAAACAUCCAUGGCAAAGCAUUGUAUGUAUAGAAGUGAUCGGUCCAUUCAUUGUAUGUAUAGAAGUGAUUUCCUCAUCAUCCUCCUCCUCUUGAAUUGGAGUCGUCCUCGACUCGAUCUCAUCUUCGUCACCCAUAUAUGGCUUCAAAUCUGAAAUGUUAAAGGUGGAACUAACCCGAAAAUCUGGAGGCAACUCAGGUGGUAAUCCAGGGGGUAUUUCAGAGGGAAACACAUCCAUAUACUCUUGCAAAAGGUUAGCAAUAGCCGGUGGCAAAGCAAUAGAUGUAUCAUCAAUGGAAUAGAAAACAUUUUUGCACACUAAGGCAUAGCAAAGUCCAACAGAGGCAUGUAACUCAUCAAGAUCAGAUUUAGUGGCUAGCAAAGUAGGAGUUUUUAACUUAAUAGGUUGCUGAUUUUCAGAGUUCAAAACACCUUUUUGCUUAGCAUUAAUCUUUUUCUCAUGUUCUAAGUGGACCAUUUCAGUGGGAGUCAUAGGAAGCAACACAAUUUUCUUUCCCUUAUGCAUAAAAGUAUAUUUAUUAGAUCUACCAUGGUGAAUAGCAUCAGUAUCAAACUCCCAAGGACGUCCCAGUAAAAGAGAGCAAGCAUCCAUACUCACCACAUCGAAAUCAGCAAAGUCAUGGUAAGAGCCAAUAGAAAAAUGCACCCUUGCUGUUUUUGUUACCUUGAACUUACCGCUGUUGUUAAACCAUUGAAUGUGAUAAGGGUGGGGAUGCUCUCGUGUGGUCAAGCCAAGCUUCUUGACCAACUCAACGUUCACCAAGUUGUUGCAGCUACCACCGUCAAUGAUGGUAUGUACACGGCAGUCCUUGACAAUGAGGAACAUGUUGAAGAGGUUGUAGCACUGUCUGUUGUCGUCGUCACUAGCCGUGGCACUCAAAGCUCGUUGCACAAUCAAGGCCUUAUAGGUCUCGGUCGCUGUUGUACCAAGAACCUCUUCAUCACCAUCAUAAGUCUCUGCAAUGUUAGCUCCAACAGUAUCUUCAUCUUCAACAUCAGAAGCACUAACAUACCCACCAUCACCAGUAGCAAUGUAUGCUCGUUUGCUGGGGCAAUCUCGCUGAAUAUGGCCAAGUCCCUGGCAGCGGUGGCACUUGAUGUCGGAGGAGCGGCCUGUGGAAGAGGUGGUCGUAGCAGGUUUUGCUGCAACACCCGAAGGCACCAAGGACUUGCCGUUGUCGUGUCCCUGUGAUGCCGAAGGUGCGGUGCUGCGUGUGCCACUGGUGGAGGAAGAUGUGGACGUCCGUACGCCCGAAGAGGAUGACACCUUGGCUGGCACCAGUGGCUGGUGUGGCGCGAAAGUGCUGCUCCUCCGCUGUUGACGACCCUGCAAUUCUUUUUCUGCCAACAUAGAAAGAUGGAACAAGCGUUGUAUAGAAUGAUAUUCUUUAUAAUCAACAAUAUCCUGAAUCUCCCGCCUCAAUCCCCCAUAAAACCUAACCAUUUGAUCCUCCGGAUCCUCAACUACCCCACAUCGUAGCAUACCUUUCUGAAGUUCUUAGUAGUAUUCUUGUACCGACAUGUCUCUCUGAUCUAAGCGUUGCAAUUUUUUUUGAAGAUCACGUCUAUAAGAAGGGGGAACAAAGCGAGCUCGCAUCUCCUCUUUUAACGCAUUCCAUGUUUGUGGUGCAACAAGUGUGUUAACAAGUUCAUUCCACCACAUGAUAGCAAAAUCUCUAAAUUCACUAGUGGCUUGUCUAACCCUAUGCUGCUCAGGAACAAGAUGGGAAUUAAAUUUUUGUUCUACCGUCAUCUCCUAGUCUAAGUAAGCUUCAGCAUCAUAAAAACCCAUGAACGGUGGAAUAGAAAACUUAAUCUUAGCAAAUGGAUCAUGGUCUGGUUCAGGAUUAUGAUGACGCCGCCUACCAUUACCUCCCAUAACUUGUCGAUUACGUGCGAAGCGUUGUGGCAGCGGUGCAUAAACAUCAUCGUCAUCGUCGUCAUCGUCCACAGGAGAGUGAGAUGGGGCUGGAGUUGGUGGUGGGGGACGAGCCUCCAGUACAUCCAUACGUGUAACAAGUUCAUCAACUCGUCGAUCAAGCUGCUCAUAGGAUGUCGAGGCAGAGUCCUGGUAUUUUUUAAAAGCUUCAGUCAUCGCGCACAUCAUCUCCUUCAAUUCCAUCUGAGAGACACACUCAUCGUCGUUAAGUUUAGGCCCCUUGUCCUUGUCCAUUUGAUUCUUUGGUCCUGUCAUUGUUAGCACAAAACAGAGACAAAAAGGCAACAAACAAUGUGAACCCUAUAACUAUCUCUCAGGGUGGUGGUGGAGGUAGUGGAAUACAAAUUAUGAAGCGUCUUACCCCGCUCUUACAAUGUUCUUACCAGCACUGCAGGUGGCAAACGGUGACCGGUGUGACUGUCCAACGAGCGUGGGUGUGAUUGCAAAGGAGUACCUGUUCUGCUCGAGAGAAAAUUGGAGCUAUGGGAAGGCUGACUAAUUAUAUAUAUAUAUAUAUAUAUAUAUAUAUAUAUAUAUAUAUAUAUAUAUAUAUAUAUAUAUAUAUAUAUAUAUAUAUAUAUAUAUAUAUAUAUGGCACACAAGUCAGUAACAGAUAGCAAUGCUGAAUAGCCUAGAAAAUGUAAUAGAACAGUUGAACCAAGGCACAAGAAAGGAGGUACAAGUAUCUAGGUGUAGCAAGAAAAUAGGCUUGGGGCAAAAUAAUCACAGAGGUGCACAGAACACUGGCGUUUCUGUUUAUGUGCUACUCUUUUCUUUUUUUCUCUAUUUUUUGCGAUUUUUUUUCAAAUAUCUUUUUUAUAUUGUUCUCUUUUGCAGCAGCACAUAAGAAGAAAACAUACCAAGUUUCAGAUUUUUUUGUGCAAUGACGCGUCCUCUGGAAUUUCUACAAGUUUGCCCUCAAAUCAAAAUAAAUGUUUGGAAAAUGAGAAGUCCUAUUUCCAAGCCAAAUUUGGGAAUUUUAAAAACAGCGAAUUUGGCAAAGCCGAAAAGAAUCGGAUACAAAAUUUAAUUCUGUGCGAUUUGAAAAAAAAUGGGCCCGAUUCGAGUUCUGAGGCGAAAGUUACGGUUGUUUUAAGUUUGGACUCCGAAUCAGGAUUUCUGGCGAGGUGUUGGAAGGGUGGGAGUUCGGUUUUGUGGAUAGGGUCGGUUUUAGAGAUAUGAUCUAUUUUGUGGAUAGGAUCAGUUGUAGAGAUAUGAUCUAUUUUGUGGAUAGGGUCGGUUUUAGAGAUAGGAUUUGUUUUGUGGAUAUGGUCGGUUUUAGAGAUAGGAUCUGUUUUGUGGAUAUGGUCGGUUUUAGAGAUAGGAUCUGUUUUGUGGAUAGGGUCGGUUUUAGAGAUAGGAUUUGUUUUGUAGAUAGGGUCGGUUUUGUAGGAUGGAAGCGGAUGGAUAGAAUUAAACUGAACCCAAACAAAUCAAAUCCAGCAACCAAACUCAACUAGAACACAAACUCAGAAAUGCGAACUCUAAAACUGAAUUGUGCAAAGGCUAAGGCGAUGGUUUUAGGUCGGAAUAAACUGAUCGUAUUUUUUUGGCUUUUUGUGGACUAUGGGACGAAACAAAACUAAUCUAAAGGUAGAAUUAUACCUCACGGGCAACCUGGAAAUCUGAUACCAAUUGAUAGUAGACGCGGCCCGAUCUUCCGUGAGAUACGAUAACUUGAUUGAGUGGAGAUCUCGACGUUGAUGAUCCAAGGCUCCGAACGAACGGUUCCUCGCAAUCACUACACCACGGCUCCGUUGGUUAUCACCCGUGACACACGAAAGACCUCGCCACGAAGGCUUAUCCCUGCAAGCGCAAUCAAGAACACAAGCAAGAACAGGAAAGAAACGCAACCGAAAUUGUAUUGAUUACGGGAUGGGGUCUCACAAGCCGAUGACGGCGACACUAUUCGAUGACAGAAUUGAUCUAAGCAAAACCCAAACCUAAAUGUGGCGGCGGCUGCUGAAUAAAUAGAGUAUUAGGGCGUGCGUGACCCCUGGACUCGCCCCUAAUGGGCUCCGACGCGAUGCACGGCCCAACGACCCAACAGACGGUGUCGCAGCACCAAAAUAGAAUCUGAACGCUGACUUGUUUCGACGAUUACCGUUGACUCCGGAUGAAUUUUAGGGUGGAACCAGUUGGGUUGGUUAGAUAAUCUCGUUAUCUUUCCAACCAUAUCCAGUCCGUUGCAAUCGAAGUCCGGAUGCAUCUUGGGCGUCCAUUUUAGUGCAGACUGGUCCUGGAACCCGAGAUGGAGUUGCAGCCGACUCGGACUUGAUCUCCUUCCUGUUGUGGACGCCCUUGCUGCUCCUCCUCAACACCUUGGCCUUUCCCAAGUCCUUGCUGGUUCUCUCCAAGGUACCUAAUCAUCAAAACAUCCAUGGCCCCCAAGCGUAAGCUCUGAAACACAAUUGACUAGGGUAGAACGUACCUGGAGAUUUAGCUGUCGUGCACGAGAUCGUGUUAUCGGUCCAUUCAUGGUAUGUAU